RNAcentral lists this ribosomal RNA (117 nucleotides) under Bacillus sp. A053. Lineage: Bacteria; Bacillati; Bacillota; Bacilli; Caryophanales; Bacillaceae. The record is from RNAcentral.
GUCUGGUGAUGAUAGCGAAGAGGUCACACCCGUUCCCAUACCGAACACGGAAGUUAAGCUCUUCAGCGCCGAUGGUAGUCGGGGGUUUCCCCCUGUGAGAGUAGGACAUCGCCAGGC